Molecule: small nucleolar RNA, 74 nt
Organism: Oryzias javanicus (javanese ricefish)
Lineage: Eukaryota; Metazoa; Chordata; Actinopteri; Beloniformes; Adrianichthyidae
Source: Ensembl
UUCUGUGAUGAAAAUUGCUGCAUAGGAAGUGCCGUCUGAUGCGAAAACUGACGAUGUAUUAAGCUGUUCUGAGA